This 329-nucleotide long non-coding RNA is filed under the name Salvia miltiorrhiza (redroot sage). RNAcentral's name for it is "long non-coding RNA (SMIL_LNC001675)". Lineage: Eukaryota; Viridiplantae; Streptophyta; Magnoliopsida; Lamiales; Lamiaceae. The record is from RNAcentral.
UCAGGUGUGGGAUUUAUUUCAGUACAUGCUGUGGUUAAUCUUUGUCCAUUUUAAUAUUAUGUGUUUACCAUAUGUGAGUUGCAUUAAAUUAUAUCGCUAGGGGCCCGCUCAAUGGGUCCAGGACUUCACCGUCCUUGGUAUGCCACAAUGCGAUUUCAUGUUACAGUUAGGGUUGCAACCUAUUCGCCAGGGGCCCGCUCAAUGGGUCCAGGACAUUAAAGUCCUUGGUAUGCCACCGUGCGACUUUCAGUUACGGAUGUAUUGAUCAUAUGUGAUUCUCAUUUUAUUAACGUGGACAAUGAUUGCAUGUUCCCACACUGAGUGUACCC